This 1271-nucleotide long non-coding RNA is filed under the name Cairina moschata (Muscovy duck). RNAcentral describes it as "domestica (muscovy Duck (domestic type)) lncRNA (ENSCMMG00000012543.1)". Lineage: Eukaryota; Metazoa; Chordata; Aves; Anseriformes; Anatidae. The record is from RNAcentral.
UUUGGAGAGUUUUCUCAUUGUUCGUCUGCGGGAGGGAAAAAAAAAAAAAAAAAAAAAAAAAAAAAAAUGGCCAGAAAGGGGUUCGUUUUGAUUGUGUUUAAUACGGCAUGAAGCUCGGAGCGGUAAGCUGUGCCUCGGUGUCAUGACCUCUAUAUUGAAAACUUCACCUUCAACACAAGUUCACUUCGGAGACAGGACGAGUUAGAUUGCGCUUGGUGGGAACAAGUGCAAAUUUAAAAACAGAGUCAAUCAUAACGGGGGUGGGGGCUGGGAAAGGGCAAUUUAACCGUUUCUGGAGCCAGGAGUUAAGGUUUGCAUUGUGUACGCCGAGGCGCUGAUACUAACGCUGAAACCCAGCCCCGCAUCGCUCAGCAAGCAGAGCUGGGAAACAGGCUCCUGGAUCUCCGGAGAUGCUUUGUGAAAGCCUAGCCUGCGUGGGGGAAGGUUAGGAGGAAAAGAGGAAUUUACAGAGUAUUAGCAGAAAUUAGCCAAUGCCGACACAAGCUCAAUUAGUUUUUUUUUUUUUUUUUUUUUUUUUUUUUGGGUCUCUGUUGGCUGUUCUCGAACGUGAGUAAAUGCCGUGCAGGGAGAGGGAGAGCCCCAGCACACUGCCAUCUCAGAGCCGCAGCCAGGAGAUGGACUGACAGAUUGCAAAUUAAAAGAGUCCCAAUGUCAGAACGACCGCAGCCCCCGGCGCGCAGAGCCCGGUAGCGCUAAGCCCGGCACGGAGCGAGCGGGGCUGCGGCGGGGCCGGUCCUGCGCCGGAGCUGGGCUAGGCAGGGACAAUAAAGCCAGGCACGGGCAGAGAAAAUCGCAAGGUGGAGCUGAAUACAAUGCCUGCAUUUGUGGCUAACUACAAGCAAUACGUUAUGAAGAUGAUGGUAUUCAGACACACACCCAAACAAUUUGAUUCAGACAAAUUGGAUACAAGACUUUGACCAGCAUAAGAAGAACAGUGGGCAAAUUGCUUACAUUUUGUACCUCAUGUGGAAGCUGACACCGUUACAGCUGCAGACUGGUGUUUGUAAGAGCUGCCAGCAUGCCAGCAUCGGCAUUGUACAGACAGGCAGCAAUGCAGACCUGCUGGAGGAGCUCAGCAGGAGGAGAGCCCGCGCUGCACCAGCAAUGUGGUCUGAACAGAGGUCUGUGUUGGUCCAGCUCAUUGGAAACUUUCAUGCUUAAAUCAGGAGGACGCUAUAGUUGGAGCUAAUCUGAGAGAUAAGAAUUUGCCAAGGGCAUCAACAGCAGUUUUCCCAGGCUUCAGAACAAGG